Molecule: ribosomal RNA, 460 nt
Filed under: uncultured bacterium
Lineage: Bacteria
Description: partial 16S ribosomal RNA
Rfam family: Bacterial small subunit ribosomal RNA
Source: RNAcentral
CCUACGGGAGGCAGCAGUGAGGAAUAUUGGUCAAUGGGCGCGAGCCUGAACCAGCCAAGUCGCGUGAAGGAUGACUGCCCUACGGGUUGUAAACUUCUUUUAUAAAGGAAUAAAGUGAGGCACGUGUGCCUUUUUGUAUGUACUUUAUGAAUACGGAUCGGCUAACUCCGUGCCAGCAGCCGCGGUAAUACGGAGGAUCCGAGCGUUAUCCGGAUUUAUUGGGGUUAAAGGGAGCGUAGAUGGGUUUGUAAGUCAGUUGUGAAAGUUUGCGGCUCAACCGUAGAAGUGCAAUUGAUACUGGGAGUCUUGAGUACAGUUGAGGUAGGCGGAAUUCGUGGUGUAGCGGUGAAAUGCUUAGAUAUCACGAAGAACACCGAUUGCGAAGGCAGCUUACUAAACUGCCACUGACAUUGAUGCUCGAAAGUGUGGGGAUCAAACAGGAUUAGAUACCCCUGUAGUC